This 370-nucleotide ribosomal RNA is filed under the name uncultured bacterium. RNAcentral's name for it is "bacterial SSU rRNA". It matches the Rfam family "Bacterial small subunit ribosomal RNA", at positions 527 to 896 of the family's 1533-position model. The record is from RNAcentral.
GUAGGGGGCAAGCGUUAUCCGGAUUUAUUGGGUGGAAAGGGUGGGUAGACGGGAAAUUAAGUUAGUUGGGAAAGCCCUCGGCUUAACUGAGGAAUUGCAACUAAAACUGGUUUUCUUGAGUGGAGGAGAGGUAAGUGGAAUUCCUAGUGGAGGGGUGAAAUGCGUAGAUAUUAGGAGGAACACCAGUGGCGAAGGCGACUUACUGGACCGCAACUGACGUUGAGGCACGAAAGUGUGGGGAGCAAACAGGAUUAGAUACCCUGGUAGUCCACACCGUAAACGAUGGAUACUAGGUGUAGGGUGGAUUAAACAUUCUGGGGCGUCGCAAACGCAGUAAGUAUCCCACCUGGGGAGUACGGGCGCAAGGGUG